AACGAACGCUGGCGGCAUGCCUUACACAUGCAAGUCGAACGAGACCUUCGGGUCUAGUGGCGCACGGGUGCGUAACGCGUGGGAACCUGCCCUUAGGUUCGGAAUAACUCCCCGAAGGGGGUGCUAAUACCGGAUAAUGUCUUCGGACCAAAGAUUUAUCGCCUUUGGAUGGGCCCGCGUUGGAUUAGCUAGUUGGUAGGGUAAAAGCCUACCAAGGCGACGAUCCAUAGCUGGUCUGAGAGGAUGAUCAGCCACACUGGGACUGAGACACGGCCCAGACUCCUACGGGAGGCAGCAGUGGGGAAUAUUGGACAAUGGGCGAAAGCCUGAUCCAGCAAUGCCGCGUGAGUGAUGAAGGCCUUAGGGUUGUAAAGCUCUUUUACCCGGGAUGAUAAUGACAGUACCGGGAGAAUAAGCUCCGGCUAACUCCGUG
RNAcentral lists this ribosomal RNA (433 nucleotides) under uncultured bacterium. RNAcentral describes it as "partial 16S ribosomal RNA". It matches the Rfam family "Bacterial small subunit ribosomal RNA", at positions 29 to 507 of the family's 1533-position model. The record is from RNAcentral.